AACUAACGCUGGCGGCGUGCCUAACACAUGCAAGUCGUACGAGAAAGUUGGCUUCGGCCGAUGAGUAAAGUGGCGCACGGGUGAGUAAUGCGUGGAUAAUCUGCCCUUUAGUUGGGAAUAACGUACCGAAAGGUGCGCUAAUACCUGAUAAUACUGCAUAACUACUGUUGUGUAGUCAAAGAAGGCCUCUGUUUACAAGCUUUUGCUGAAGGAUGGGUCCGCGUACCAUUAGCUGGUUGGUGGGGUAAUGGCCUACCAAGGCUACGAUGGUUAGCUGGUCUGAGAGGAUGAUCAGCCACACUGGAACUGAGACACGGUCCAGACUCCUACGGGAGGCAGCAGUGAGGAAUAUUGCGCAAUGGGGGCAACCCUGACGCAGCAACGCCGCGUGAGUGAGGAAGGUUUUCGGACCGUAAAGCUCUGUCGAGCGGGAAGAAAUGUAUCAUGGCUAAUAUCCAUGAUACUUGACGGUACCGCUAAAGGAAGCACC
RNAcentral lists this ribosomal RNA (490 nucleotides) under uncultured bacterium. RNAcentral describes it as "bacterial SSU rRNA". It matches the Rfam family "Bacterial small subunit ribosomal RNA", at positions 29 to 494 of the family's 1533-position model. The record is from RNAcentral.